CCAUCUGUGUCUGCAUCUGGAUCUCGCCUUGUGCCCAUAUAAGCAAGAUUGUUGCUUGGAAUGCAGGGCCAGGAAUACAUAGAUUAGAUCAUGGAAAUACUGCCAAAAACAUCCUGCUCAAAAUCCUGGUAGUUCUCGAUUUUUGGGCUAUUGUCUUUAGUGUUAUUUUUGUCAGUGACUAAAGGAAGACAAGCUACCUAAAUGUGACUUAUUGGCUAGUACUGAAGCAGGACAUGUUUUUAGCCCAAAGCCUUGUAUUUAAGCAAAACAACAGCUGAAGAAGGGAACCAUGAAGAGGAGCUUGGAGUGGGCAAGGGGGAGGCUGAUAACGCAGCAGAGAAGACCUGAUUCAUCAAGUAUUCUCACUUGGUUGGCAUGCACAACACAGCAAGACACUUCAAUCCGACACUCUUGUUAAUGUUUGACGUCAGGCAAAACGUACUCAGCCACCGUAGGAUGGAGAGCAGCUGGUUGGCAUUUUUGACUGCAGUGUCUGUGUGGGUGUACUAGGAAAGGACGUUAGAAGUUAGGUCCCCAUGAUAUCGAAACUUCUUACCAUCUCCACUGCAGCCCAGUCGAUAUCGAUUUUAAAAACUGGAACAGUAGAUAUCGUGUAGCACAUGGUAGCAAAUAUUCACUGGACCAACUCCAGUUUGCUUAUCAUCCCAACAAAUGUCAAGUAUACAUUUUACAUAAGUCCGUGUGUUUUCAUUUAUAGCUCUGCUUUCAACAUCAUCUUGACCCACAAAAUGGUUAGCAGACUCAGGUCUCUGGGGGUACAAUUUUUUUUUUUUUUACAUUAUCACAAGAAUGUGUAUCCCAGAAUGGACCCAACACCUACACAUGCUGACAACACUACCAUGAUACACCUGAUCACCAGUGAUCAUGAGUACAUGAAGGAGCUGUGGGACCUGACACGAUGGUGAUAGGACAACAGUCUCAGCAUAAGCAAAACAAAGUAGAUGGUGAUACUUGACCAUUCUCCCAUCUACUGUAAAUUGACAUGAAAAUGAUCAGUAGCUUCAAGUUCCUGGGCACCCUGACAUCCUUUUCUGCCCUCAGUCACCACUCAAAGUCCCACCAGUGCUUCUCCACUUUCCUCAUCAACUUGCUGCACCACGACCUAUGAACCAACUACAGUGUCUGUUUUUAUUGCCUUAACACAUGUAAAUGGAAUGGCCAUAUUUACUGUAAUAUUUAUGGUAACAUUGCACAUAUUGUAACAUAGUCCCUUGACAUACAUGACUUAACUACUGUUCCUAAUGCUCAGUUUACCCACUAAGAAAUCAUACAUUUAUUGAAAUAUUAAA
Molecule: long non-coding RNA, 1310 nt
Organism: Oncorhynchus mykiss (rainbow trout)
Lineage: Eukaryota; Metazoa; Chordata; Actinopteri; Salmoniformes; Salmonidae
Source: RefSeq, a predicted model, not a curated record